This 359-nucleotide ribosomal RNA is filed under the name uncultured bacterium. RNAcentral describes it as "partial 16S ribosomal RNA". It matches the Rfam family "Bacterial small subunit ribosomal RNA", at positions 338 to 696 of the family's 1533-position model. The record is from RNAcentral.
CCUACGGGAGGCAGCAGUGGGGAAUAUUGCACAAUGGGGGAAACCCUGAUGCAGCGACGCCGCGUGAGUGAAGAAGUAUUUCGGUAUGUAAAGCUCUAUCAGCAGGGAAGAAAUAGCGACCUUUGGGUCGCCAGACGGUACCUGAUUAAGAAGCCCCGGCUAACUACGUGCCAGCAGCCGCGGCAAUACGUAGGGGGCAAGCGUUAUCCGGAUUUACUGGGUGGAAAGGGAGCGUAGGCGGUCGGACAAGUUAGAGGUGAAAUCCCGAGGCUCAACUUCGGAAUUGCCUCUGAUACUGGUCGGCUAGAGAGUAGGUGCGGUAAGCGGAAUGUAUGGUGUAGCGGUGAAAUGCCUAGAGA